This 497-nucleotide ribosomal RNA is filed under the name uncultured bacterium. Its description in RNAcentral is "partial 16S ribosomal RNA". It matches the Rfam family "Bacterial small subunit ribosomal RNA", at positions 28 to 507 of the family's 1533-position model. The record is from RNAcentral.
GAUGAACGCUGGCGGCGUGCCUAAUACAUGCAAGUCGAGCGAACAGACGAGGAGCUUGCUCCUCUGACGUUAGCGGCGGACGGGUGAGUAACACGUGGAUAACCUACCUAUAAGACUGGGAUAACUUCGGGAAACCGGAGCUAAUACCGGAUAAUAUAUUGAACCGCAUGGUUCAAUAGUGAAAGACGGUUUUGCUCUCACUUAUAGAUGGAUCCGCGCCGCAUUAGCUAGUUGGUAAGGUAACGGCUUACCAAGGCAACGAUGCGUAGCCGACCUGAGAGGGUGAUCGGCCACACUGGAACUGAGACACGGUCCAGACUCCUACGGGAGGCAGCAGUAGGGAAUCUUCCGCAAAGGGCGAAAGCCUGACGGAGCAACGCCGCGUGAGUGAUGAAGGUCUUCGGAUCGUAAAACUCUGUUAUUAGGGAAGAACAAAUGUGUAAGUAACUAUGCACGUCUUGACGGUACCUAAUCAGAAAGCCACGGCUAACUACGUG